Molecule: transfer RNA, 73 nt
Filed under: Stegodyphus mimosarum
Lineage: Eukaryota; Metazoa; Arthropoda; Arachnida; Araneae; Eresidae
Rfam family: tRNA
About the family: Transfer RNA (tRNA) molecules are approximately 80 nucleotides in length. Their secondary structure includes four short double-helical elements and three loops (D, anti-codon, and T loops).
Source: Rfam by way of RNAcentral
UCCUUCGUGGUGUAGUGGUCAGCACGCUCGGCGCGUAUUCGAGAGGUCCGUGGUUCGAGUCCCGGCGAGGACA